This 253-nucleotide ribosomal RNA is filed under the name uncultured bacterium. RNAcentral's name for it is "partial 16S ribosomal RNA". It matches the Rfam family "Bacterial small subunit ribosomal RNA", at positions 524 to 776 of the family's 1533-position model. The record is from RNAcentral.
GACGGAGGGGGCUAGCGUUGUUCGGAAUUACUGGGCGUAAAGCGCGCGUAGGCGGUAUAAUAAGUUGGAAGUGAAAGCCCGGGGCUCAACCUCGGAACUGCUUCCAAAACUGUUAUUCUAGAGUGUAGUAGGGGAUGAUGGAAUUCCUAGUGUAGUGGUGAAAUACGCAGAUAUUAGGAGGAACACCGGUGGCGAAGGCGGUCAUCUGGGCUACAACUGACGCUGAGGCGCGAAAGCAUGGGGAGCAAACAGG